This 521-nucleotide ribosomal RNA is filed under the name uncultured bacterium. Its description in RNAcentral is "bacterial SSU rRNA". It matches the Rfam family "Bacterial small subunit ribosomal RNA", at positions 27 to 518 of the family's 1533-position model. The record is from RNAcentral.
GGACGAACGCUGGCGGCGUGCUUAACACAUGCAAGUCGAACGAGGUGAUUGAAAGCUUGCUUUGAGAACCGAGUGGCAAACGGGUGAGUAACGCGUAGACAACCUGCCGCAAAGAUGGGGACAACAGUCCGAAAGGACUGCUAAUACCGAAUGUUGUCAAGCUUCCGCAUGGGAGUUUGAUUAAAGAUGGCCUCUACUUGUAAGCUAUCGCUUUGCGAUGGGUCUGCGUCUGAUUAGCUAGUUGGUGGGGUAACGGCCUACCAAGGCGACGAUCAGUAGCCGGUCUGAGAGGAUGAACGGCCACAUUGGAACUGAGACACGGUCCAGACUCCUACGGGAGGCAGCAGUGGGGAAUCUUCCGCAAUGGGCGAAAGCCUGACGGAGCAACGCCGCGUGAGUGAAGGAAAGGGUUUCGGCUCGUAAAGCUCUGUUGAUGGGGACGAAUGUGCGAAAUGCGAAUAGUUUUUCGCAAUGACGGUACCCGUCGAGGAAGCCACGGCUAACUACGUGCCAGCAGCCGC